This 209-nucleotide long non-coding RNA is filed under the name Elaeis guineensis (African oil palm). RNAcentral describes it as "long non-coding RNA (EGUI_LNC045618)". The record is from RNAcentral. Lineage: Eukaryota; Viridiplantae; Streptophyta; Magnoliopsida; Arecales; Arecaceae.
UGCAGUGGAUAUUUGAUUAAGAUAUUGGGGUUUCUUGAACCAGUGGCCUCGCAAGAUCUAGAUGCACAGAUUCUCUACUUCACAUGCAUGCUAGGCACCACAGGAAAGAGAGAUGAAGAUCUCGAGUAUCUCUCCUUCAAAAGGGAAGCAAGGCGAGUCUGUCAAGAACCAAUUUCAUGAUAGGAAACUAGGGAGGAUCUUUUCAUGCC